AAGAUUUUAAGUUAACAAUUAAACUUUAAACCUUCAAAGUUUAAUAUAUAAUAAUUUAUAUUAUAAAUCUUA
Molecule: transfer RNA, 72 nt
Filed under: Lasius spathepus
Lineage: Eukaryota; Metazoa; Arthropoda; Insecta; Hymenoptera; Formicidae
Description: tRNA-Trp
Source: RNAcentral